Non-coding RNA from Chlorocebus sabaeus (green monkey), 857 nucleotides. The record is from RefSeq and is a predicted model, not a curated record. Lineage: Eukaryota; Metazoa; Chordata; Mammalia; Primates; Cercopithecidae.
GAGUGGACUUGCGGCAUAUUCUUGCGCCCUAGAGGGUGUGGUGUUUCUGUGGGGCUGAUCCCGGGUCAGGGACUGCAUUCCUCCCCGGCCUUGUGACCCCUCAUCUCCUUCGUCCAGUUGGGCCAAUUCUGCAGGCAAAGCCGGAGCCCGUGUCCGUGGACGUGGGGGAAGACGCCUCCUUCAGCUGUGCCUGGCGCGGGAACCCGCUUCCACGGGUAACCUGGACCCGCCGCGGUGGUGCUGGGCUCUAGAGCCACACUGCGCCUUCCGUCAGCGGGACCGGAGGACGCAGGCGACUAUGUGUGCAGGGCUGAGCCUGGGCUCUCGGGCCAGGGGGGCGGCGCCGCGGAGGCUCGGCUGACUGUGAACGGUGAGAAGGCGGGGCUUCCUAGGGGACCUAGCCCGUCCUGGGAUAGGGAGUGGACAGAGGGGGCAAGGGCUAAUGCAGUGGGAGUGGCCUGGAAGGAGCUUUACACCCAGCGGGGCCUGGAGACCUACAUAUUAAAGGAGAGGCUUUUUAGGGGAAUCGGAGUUGGGAGGCAGCAUGGCCUGAUUGAUUAAGGUUAGCGGAGAGUGCGCUGGCCGGACCAGGCUUUGUUACAGCCUUUGGGGAGAGCAAGACCUCUCCUCUUGAGUGACCCACCGUCUCCAUCCCAGCUCCCCCAGUAGUGACCGCCCUUGAGUCUAGCCAUGGAACUAGUCUCCACUACAGUGGGUUGCCAUCUGGGUCCCAAAGAGAUCCACAGCUUGCUGACAAAGCUUUUCUUAAUUGGACUAACCCUGCCCAGCUAGCAGAGCCCACCUGCUGUUCAUUGCCCUUGUGAGCCACAUCUUCAUUAAACCAAUUCUAGGUCUGU